This 557-nucleotide ribosomal RNA is filed under the name Sphingopyxis sp. HRRP024. RNAcentral's name for it is "bacterial SSU rRNA". It matches the Rfam family "Bacterial small subunit ribosomal RNA", at positions 102 to 694 of the family's 1533-position model. Lineage: Bacteria; Pseudomonadati; Pseudomonadota; Alphaproteobacteria; Sphingomonadales; Sphingopyxidaceae. The record is from RNAcentral. RNAcentral also lists the same sequence under 1 other name.
ACGGGUGCGUAACGCGUGGGAAUCUGCCCUUGGGUACGGAAUAACUCAGAGAAAUUUGUGCUAAUACCGUAUAAUGACUUCGGUCCAAAGAUUUAUCGCCCAAGGAUGAGCCCGCGUAAGAUUAGCUAGUUGGUGGGGUAAAAGCCUACCAAGGCGACGAUCUUUAGCUGGUCUGAGAGGAUGAUCAGCCACACUGGGACUGAGACACGGCCCAGACUCCUACGGGAGGCAGCAGUGGGGAAUAUUGGACAAUGGGCGAAAGCCUGAUCCAGCAAUGCCGCGUGAGUGAUGAAGGCCCUAGGGUUGUAAAGCUCUUUUACCCGGGAUGAUAAUGACAGUACCGGGAGAAUAAGCUCCGGCUAACUCCGUGCCAGCAGCCGCGGUAAUACGGAGGGAGCUAGCGUUGUUCGGAAUUACUGGGCGUAAAGCGCGCGUAGGCGGUUUUUUAAGUCAGAGGUGAAAGCCCGGGGCUCAACCCCGGAAUAGCCUUUGAAACUGGAAGACUUGAAUCUUGGAGAGGUCAGUGGAAUUCCGAGUGUAGAGGUGAAAUUCGUAGA